Molecule: long non-coding RNA, 258 nt
Filed under: Glycine max (soybean)
Lineage: Eukaryota; Viridiplantae; Streptophyta; Magnoliopsida; Fabales; Fabaceae
Description: long non-coding RNA (GMAX_LNC000571)
Source: RNAcentral
GGUAAUCGAUUACCCAUGGUGUGUAAUCGAUUACACAGAGUAACAGGGCACUGGUAAUCGAUUACCAGUUAGGUGUAAUCGAUUACACAGUGUAAUUUGUAGGUUUCCAUGUGCAGAAGCUGUGUAACUCGAGUUUGGGCACCGAUAAUCGAUUACAUACUUUGGUAAUCGAUUUACCAGAGAGGAAAUCCCUUGAGAAGGAUAUUUUGACUAUGCAUAGCCGUUAUGGGACGCAUUGUAUUGUUACCUGUAGUUAGA